Molecule: non-coding RNA, 148 nt
Organism: Pan troglodytes (chimpanzee)
Lineage: Eukaryota; Metazoa; Chordata; Mammalia; Primates; Hominidae
Rfam family: Metazoan signal recognition particle RNA
About the family: The signal recognition particle (SRP) is a universally conserved ribonucleoprotein. It is involved in the co-translational targeting of proteins to membranes. The eukaryotic SRP consists of a 300-nucleotide 7S RNA and six proteins: SRPs 72, 68, 54, 19, 14, and 9.
Source: Rfam
GCUGGGUGUGCUGAUGGGCGCCUGUAAUCCCAGCUACUUGGGAGGCUGAGGCAGGAGAAUUGCUUGAACCCGGGAAGCGGAGGUUGCAGUGAGCCAAGAUUGCGCCACUGCACUCCAGCCUGGGUGACAGAGCAAUACUCUGUCUCAA